GACGAAGGUGGCGAGCGUUGUUCGGUGUCACUGGGCUUAAAGCGUGUGUAGGCGGAAAAGUAAGCGCUUUGUGAAAUCCCCCGGCUCAACCGGGGAAUUGCUUGGCGUACUGCUUUUCUUGAGGCAAGCAGGGGUGCAUGGAACUCUUGGUGGAGCGGUGGAAUGCGUAGAUAUCAAGAGGAACGCCGGUGGUGAAGACGGUGCACUGGGCUUGUCCUGACGCUGAGACACGAAAGCGUGGGGAG
Molecule: ribosomal RNA, 245 nt
Filed under: uncultured bacterium
Lineage: Bacteria
Description: partial 16S ribosomal RNA
Rfam family: Bacterial small subunit ribosomal RNA
Source: RNAcentral